This 1715-nucleotide long non-coding RNA is filed under the name Olea europaea subsp. europaea. Lineage: Eukaryota; Viridiplantae; Streptophyta; Magnoliopsida; Lamiales; Oleaceae. The record is from RNAcentral.
AUUCCAAACAAAUGUAGGCUGGCUAAACUAUGAAAUUAGCAUUCAAAAUAGAAAGUGGCGUACGAAGUUUGCUUGUAGAGACAGUUACCUAUGAGUUGGCAUGUCUUAUAAAAAAAAAAAAAGAAUGGAUUAGUUAAAGUGACAGCCUAUCCACAUGCAGACUCCUCUUCUUAAUCACAAAUAUCAUAAUUAUUCUUUCCAUAAACACCUUCUCCUUUCUUCACUCAGAGAUUCCAAAUCUAAGACUCUGUAUCCUCUUCCAAGCAAGGUAUUCUGUGUGUGUGUUUGUGUGCCUGUUUUCCUACUAAUGUUUUAAGGUAUCUAUUACAUAAUUAAAUCAUUUCUUUCCUUCUUUCUUUCCGUUAUAUGUAUUGAUGUCUUAAUCAGAAGGGCCUCUAUCUGCAUAUUUGUACUUUGGAUUCAAAAGUUGAUGUUUCAAGGAUCAGCGGUUCUGAUUGUCCCCUUUUCUUCAAAUUGAAUCAAUUCUCAUACCCCAUAAGGAAAUAUUGAUAUAUUUUGAGAUACAGGCUGGUGUUACACCAUAUGUUUUUAGGUGAGCAUUGAACAAAUUGAACUAUGCUCAGCCUAAUGGUAUUGUAGGCAAUCCCGGCUAAGGGCAGCCUCAGAUUUUAUUCGAGAUUCUAUUUCGUAAUUUACAUGUGUUGAGUCGUAUAAAAGAUUCCAAAGAUGUCAUUUUUGCUUGUAAUUCCAUUCUUUCUUGUAGUGUAAAUUCUCUUAUUGAAGGUGAACCACUAAAAAUCGGUAUGCUUUACAUCUUUCUGAUUUUACUUUGUUUGUUAUUGCUAGGGAACUGAAUAGUUAUGGCUGCAGAGGCGCCAAGCUGGGCAGAUCAAUGGGGUGCAGGAGGAAUUGGUGCAAUGGAAGAUGAGAAUACUAAAAGCAACAAAGAAGUGAAUAACAAGAAGAAUACAGGCUCCACUGCAGGACUCGGUAAAGCCAAAGCAGCAGCCAUUUUAGGUGCACAAAAGGUCAAGAAUGGCACAUCAAUGGGCAUCAAGUGGGUCAAAAACAGAUGUCAAAAGAAACCCUCUUCAACAUAAAUAUUAUCAAAGAAAAAAACUCUGCUGUAUUGCUUAGUGAUUCAAAAUUAUGUUCCAUCUGUAUUUUGUCACGUCAAAAAACUCAACACUUGUUUCAUCUAUCAACUCCUUUCUUGAAAUAUUAACUUUAUUCAUAUUUUAUUCUUUUUAAGAAAAAUAAAGAACCCUCCCCGAUUUUACUUGUCGGGUUUGAUUAGGCCUAUUGGUAGUAGAUACAUGUUUGAUACACAACACUACUAGAUUGACGGGGCAAUGUCCAGCUUUUUACAAACACGUCAUAAAUGCUUUCUUAAGUUGAAAUGUGUCGAGGAAUUAAAGGUGGAAGGUGAAAGGGCAAAGGAGGGUUCAGCAUUUUCACGUGAAAACAGUACUGUGAUGUUCUUUGCGACCAAAAUAGGCCAUGGGUGGGGCACCUACUUACAGGUAGAUGCUUCGGGGAUUUCCAACCAAAAAACCAAAAAAUUGAAGUUACAUGCUUCUUGUGAAGAGGGACAUUGGACUUGUAUACGCACAUAUCACAAUCAAGUAGAUAUGACUAGGAAACAACACGCUACAAGAAAGCAAAGCAACGGCCGAAUUGUUAAAUGUAUAUUUAUUGUAUUGAAGCGAACAAGACAACCCGAUAAAUUUUAUCAGUGUAGUCCUUUCUUGAAG